GAAGUGGAGGAGCAGCCUCUGAGCCUGGGGUAUCUGGGCCCUGAAAUCUGUAUUUUUCCUACUCCCUAUGAAGCUCAAGAAGUAUUUGAAAAAUGGGCCAGAAAGGGAGUUCCCUUUGUGGCUCAACAGUAAUGAACCCAAUUAGUAUCCAUGAGGAAGUGGUUUUGAUCCCUGGCCUUGCUCAGUGGGUUGGGGAUCUGGUGCGUUACCAUAAGCUGUGAUGUAGGUUGCAGAUGUGGCUCAGAUCUGGCGUGGCUGUGGCUGUGGCGUAGACCAACAGAUACAGCUCUGAUUUGAUCCCUAGCCUGGAAACCUCCAUAGGCUGCAGGUGCAGCCCUAAAAAAAAAGGCAGGAAAGACUUGGGUUCAAGUCCAACAUUUAUGACCAUGAGGCAGUUGCUUAUCUUCUCUGAGCAAAGAGUAGGUACCCAGGGAAUAUUUCUUUCCCGCUCUUUCCAACCUCCCCUGACACCCUGUGUUUCCACAGGAACCGUUGUCCUGUUGGUGACGCAGGUGGCUCUGGGAUCCUCUCCUGGUCCUUCCCAGUGGGGCAGAGAACCCCGGGCUGAGGCUGAUGUGGGGAGGCCCUGAGCCUGCAGGGAGCCCAGACAGCCGCUCCAACAGCCCUUCAGCCGGCAUGAUGAACAUCUCAGGAUGGCUUUUCUAGCACCCAGCACGGGAGGGGGGCUGUUAGAACUAUUUAUAUCCUGCCUGCCUGCCGACUGACAGCUUAAUCUCAGCGCCUCCUCCCUCUGACUUUUAUUUGUCAACCCCAUUUGCACCCCCUCCCAAGUACCACACAGCGUGACUCUUGGUGGUUUGGCUAGACAGCCAGACUCUCCCAGUUAAGACUGGAGAUUGACAAGAAGCCCCCAGGGGCUCACCGUAGCUGCUCCCCUGCAGGUGAGCUUCCAUCUCUGGUGGCCAAAAGAGCCUGGCUGGAAGGUUCUAGGCAGCCCAGGGAUCUGCAGCUGGGCCUGUGCCUGGAGCACCUGCGGCCUGGACUUGGCCUGAGUGUCUAAUGGCCGGGCAGCAGCUCAAUAACUGAACAGACUGGCAGGUACCGUCCACCGGGCUAUCAAUCAACCACUUUAAUUCUCAUCAGGGACACGUUUGGCCAGAGGCUGCUGGCUCCAGUGGGAAUGGGAUGAGUGGUCAAAGAGCAAAGCUGGUUAAAUGGUGUCCUGCUCUGAGGCCUGGAAGUGCCUGUUUACAGGGGCCUUGGUCACCUGGUGGCCCGUUCCCAUUAAGGACAGAAGACCAUGAGGGGAGAUAUUUAAUACUGAGGCUCUGGCCCUGAUGUCAUUCAAGCCAGCUGUAAAGAGAUGGGAAAUCCAGACUGAAAGACUGAUAUGUUCCUUCUUUCAUUCAUUCGUUCACCUGCUGAAACAUUCUGAAAUCUUUGCAUGGCAGGCUCCUCAAUAUUCAGCUCGUGGCCCGAAGGUCACCUCCCCUGACUGCCCUUUCUAAUGAAGUCCCUCGCUUUCCUGCCACCAGAUGCUAUGACAUCUUUGUGUUUCAUUUCCGUCCCUGUGCUUUCCAUUGGUUGAAGUUCUCUGGUUUAUUUACUUGUUUGCUGGUUUGUUGCCACGCCCACCGGAAGUAAAAUCCUUAAGUGGAGGGAUCUUGCUUCCUGUCCACUGCUGUGUCCCCAAGUGGAUGACUCUAUGGCGGGUCCAAGGUGGAACCUCAUCCAUCCAACAGCUGCCCAGAACCCCAAGUUGUCAGGCCAGCGCUGAGGCUCAGUCAUGGCCUGGCUGCUGCUCACAGCAAAGUCUGGCAAUGGGGUAAAAGCCUUGUAUGAACCAUGUGUUUCUGAUGCUUAGACAUCCGGGGACUUGUUGGCCCUGGAGAAGCUGCCCCCUCCCCUGCAGCCCAGGGCUAGCUAAUCCCUUGAGAGUGAACAACUUGCCUUGAACCCACUUUUCUUAUGCAAACCAGUCAGAGACAUAGCUCAGCCACCUCCUUUAUCUAUCAGCUGGCUUCUCGCACUCUAGCCACUCUCCACCAGGCCAGGUACCAUACAACUAGCGACAGACCCUAGGCUCCGGAGCAAGCUGAAAUUGUCCAAGCUGGCCUGCUCACCCUGCCUCACCCUUUCUUCCCCAGAAACGACCGUACAAUCUCUUGCCCAUAUUUUCCUCUCCCUCCUUCUGCCUCCGGACCGACCCUCGUGCUUCCCCACGUGGUCCCCGUGGCAUGGCGGCCCCCUUCCUCUUGGGAUCUAGAGUAACGAGCUCUUCUCGAUGGCCAUCAUUGCCUGAUCUGUUGGCCUCCCCAUACCUGAAUAAUAAUAAAACCUAUAUUUUAAGACAAGCAAUGAGGAUGAAGGCAGGCCCAAGGGGAAUGGAGGAAGGGCACGCAAUCCACACCUGACAUACAGCAUCCACAGGGGCUGGUAGUAGAAUAAUAUCAGCUGGAAGGGAGCGGGGAGCAUUGGUGGGUGCCUACUAAGCAAAGGGCAUCACUUGGCAGCCAAGGAGGGGAUAGAGCGUUCUGGUAACUCAGAUGGACCUGUAUGGCCGGAGCAGGAGGACCUAUAGGACAAGAAGCUGGAGCAGGAGGGGGUCAAGUCUCGGAGGACUUGGGAUGAAGCUGGGUUUUGUUCAGGGAAGGCAACAGGCACACAGGGAGCUGAAAAUGGAGCCCAUCAGAUGCAGGGUCCCUGGGUGCUUCUCGUUGGAGCUGGAGUCCAUGGGCGGGAUGAGGUGCGUCACAGCCCCUGGUCCCCAGAUCCAGUCCUGGCCCACAUCAGCCCUCAGCACCCCCACUCCACCCUGCUCUUUGCUGAGUCACAGAAACAACUGCUCUUCCUGCUGGGGCCCUCGGGGCUGAGUCACACCUCCCCAUAUGCUUCCAUCUCCCACUCUCCGCACCUCCAGCUCCCCAGGGUGGGGGCUGAUGAGCCUGAUUCAAUAGCUGGAGGAAUCAUCCCAGCAGGUGGCACCUUGGGAAUUCUGGCUCCAGGACCAAUUUCCAGAGAGAAAACUGAGGUGGGUUUGAAGUGAGGAGCAGGUUCAUGCAGGAAGAGUGACAGCUAUGGUCACCCACCUUUCUCAUCAUCCACCCUUCUCUCCUGCAGUCUCCUUAUGGUGCUGGCCCAGGAACUAAGACAAAGAUAGGGGCCCUUUCACCUGGGUCUGGAGGGGGCACAGAGCACUUGGAAGGGGGGCCAGCACCAAAGGAGAACCCAUGGCUGAAUGACUUCAAGCCAAGGUCAGGGCGGGAGCAGAACUGGAUCUAACCCUUGACUGUCUCCAACCUUGGCCUGGAAGGAAAUAACACAGUCUCUCUGGAGAGAUUGCCUGUAGCUGCCAGCAAUUAUUGGGCAUUUGCCCAAUUCCUUCCUUCUUUCUUUCCUUCCUUCCCUCAUUCAACCAAUAUUUUUCUACUACUAUAAGUUAGUCAUGUUCUAGGUACAGUCAUAUAGUGGUGCAUGAAACAUCUGGAACCUCUGUCAUCUGCGAGUUUAUAUUCUAUCUAGGGAGACAGCCAGUCAGCAAUCAAGGAAAUAAAUAUAACGUCUAGAAGCAACAACUGUUAGGGAGAAAAAUGAGGGGAAGUGUUGGGCGAACCAGAAGAAAGGGCUCAGAGAGGGCUGAGUUAGAUCUCACAGGGCAUACAGUAUAUCUUUCCCUUUGAUCCAUUAGCUGCUGGGAGGAAAGGCCAGGUGCCAUGGCAGAUAAAGAAGAUGAACUGAGAGUCAGUGUCCCCUCCUUAGGGAAUGAAUGGCCUGGCCCAGAGGGAGGUUCUUCUCAAAUAUAACAGUCAUCAUCUGAUGGGAACAUAUUAUGUGGCUCAUUGCAUUUAAUCCCUAGAGUCACUUUUGAUGUCAAUAUGAUUAUUUCCCCAUUUUCUGCAUGAGUAAACUGAGGCUUGGAGCAAUCAGCUCUCUUGUUCAGGGUCACAGUGGGUGCAGAGUGAGAUACAGCGAUCUGGUAUCUAACAGUCUAACAGAUGGGGCAAAGGGCUUGACCACAGUGUCACAGCUAUAGUGCAAAACAGAGAAGCACGUACUCUUAGAGAAAGGCCAAGCACAGCCAUCAUUCAGAGGACAGAGGGAUCCAGAAAGGUUGUGUGACCAAGAGUCCUUACAGUUGGGAAGGACUUUGAUAGGCAGUGAUGGAGCAAAGGUAUUCCAAGAAGAAGCACAGCAUGAGCCAAGGAGCAGAGGCUGGAAGAGCAAGACAUGGUGUGCUGUAGGGAGGAGUGUGAGACAGGCUGGUAUCGCAGGUGAGGGUCAUUCUGGGGGUGACCUCGACCGUGGGAUACACCGUGACUCUUAAGCCAGUUGGCAAUGGGAGCCACUGAAGGGGUCUGAGCAGAGGACUGAUUCCAAGUGGGGGCAGGAGCUUAUAUUGGAGCUGAUCGGCCAAAUGGUAGAAGAAAGGCAAGCAACAGGCUUAAGAGAGGCAGGCCACCCUGCCAGAGCUGGCAGAGCACAUGGCUAAAGACACGAGCCCUGGGGAGGUCCCACUGUGGUGCAGGGGAAGCAAAUCUAGCUAGUAUCCAGUCCCAGGCCUCACUCGGUGGGUUAAGGAUCUGGCAUUGCCAUGAGAUGUGGUGUGGGUCGCAGACAUGGUUCAAAUCCUACGUUGUUGUGGCUGUAGUUUAGGCUGCCACAACUCCAUUUCAACCCCUAGCCUUGGAACUUGCAUAUACUGCUGGUUGGGCCCUAAAAAGAGAAAAAACAAACAAACAACAACGACAAAAAAAAAACAAAGACAUGGGCCCUGGACCUGGACUGCUUAGAUUUGGUUCCAGCUCUAGUGGGCACUGUUGGUUCCCUGCCCUGCUCCCUUGGCCCUA
This 4808-nucleotide long non-coding RNA is filed under the name Sus scrofa (pig). RNAcentral describes it as "lncRNA (ENSSSCG00035079329.1)". Lineage: Eukaryota; Metazoa; Chordata; Mammalia; Artiodactyla; Suidae. The record is from RNAcentral.